AUGAGACUGUGGGGUCUUCUCCUUUGCCUGGUGACUGCUCCUCAAGGUGUCCUGUCCGAGGUGCAGCUGCAGGAGUCGGGCCCAGGACUGGUGAAGCCCUCGCAGACCCUCUCCCUCACCUGCACCGUCUCUGGUGACUCCAUCACAACCAGUGGUUACUACUGGAGCUGGAUCCGCCAGCCCACGGGGAAGAGCCUUGAGUGGAUUGGAAGCAUUAGUUAUGGUGGAAGCACAUAUUAUAACCCGUCCCUCAAGAGCCGCACCUCCAUCACCAGAGACACGUCCAACAACCAGUUCUCCCUGCAGCUGAGCUCUGUGACCGACGAGGACACAGGCGUGUAUUACUGUGCGAGAGACACAGUGACAGGAAGUCAGCGUGAGCCCAGACACAAACCUCCCUGCAGGAUACAGGAGGGGUCUGGGCUGCAGGGGGCGCUCAAGGCCCACCCAGCUCCUGAGAGCAAUAACUGUGACCCACCCCUGAAGGAGGCAGCCUACUCCUGUGAGCCUUUAGAAGACCUCGAGGACGGAGAGCACAAGGCAGGCCUGGAGCUUGUGGAGCAGCAACAGUGGAACGAUGGAACGAGCUCUUGGGGUGACGAGAACCACAUCACGGGAGAGGGUGCAGGGAAAGAAAGCAGGCGGUGCUGGGACCAGAACUGUGGAAGCAAGACCCAGAGCCUGAGAUUAUGA
This is a non-coding RNA of Cynocephalus volans (Philippine flying lemur), 693 nucleotides long. NCBI's taxonomy places the organism in Eukaryota, Metazoa, Chordata, Mammalia, Dermoptera, Cynocephalidae. The record is from the annotation of a RefSeq genome assembly.